CAGGCCUUGACAUCCAAUGAACUUUCCAGAGAUGGAUUGGUGCCUUCGGGAACAUUGAGACAGGUGCUGCAUGGCUGUCGUCAGCUCGUGUCGUGAGAUGUUGGGUUAAGUCCCGCAACGAGCGCAACCCUCAUCUCCAGUUGCUACCAUUUAGUUGAGCACUCUGGCGAAACCGCCUCGGAUAACGGGGAGGAAGGUGGGGAUGACGUCAAGUCCUCAUGGCCUUUAUGUCCAGGGCUACACACGUGCUACAAUGGCCGGUACAAACCGCUGCAAACCCGCGAGGGGGAGCUAAUCGGAAAAAGCCGGCCUCAGUUCGGAUUGGAGUCUGCAACUCGACUCCAUGAAGCUGGAAUCGCUAGUAAUCGUGGAUCAGCAUGCCACGGUGAAUACGUUCCC
RNAcentral lists this ribosomal RNA (399 nucleotides) under uncultured bacterium. RNAcentral's name for it is "bacterial SSU rRNA". It matches the Rfam family "Bacterial small subunit ribosomal RNA", at positions 975 to 1375 of the family's 1533-position model. The record is from RNAcentral.